GCUGGCGGCAGGCCUAACACAUGCAAGUCGAGCGGCCGUAGCAAUACGGCAGCGGCAGACGGGAGAGUAACACGUGGGAACGCGCCCUUCGGUCCGGGAUAACCCAGGGAAACUUGGGCUAAUACCGGAUACGCCCUUACGGGGAAAGAUUUAUUGCCGAAGGAACGGCCCGCGUCCGAUUAGCUAGUUGGUGAGGUAACGGCUCACCAAGGCGACGAUCGGUAGCUGGUCUGAGAGGAUGACCAGCCUCACUGGGACUGAGACACGGCCCAGACUCCUACGGGAGGCAGCAGUGGGGAAUAUUGGACAAUGGGCGCAAGCCUGAUCCAGCCAUGCCGCGUGGGUGAUGAAGGCCCUAGGGUUGUAAAGCCCUUUCAGCGGGGAAGAUAAUGACGGUACCCGCAGAAGAAGCCCCGGCUAACUUCGUGCCAGCAGCCGCGGUAAUACGAAGGGGGCUAGCGUUGCUCGGAAUUACUGGGCGUAAAGCGCACGU
RNAcentral lists this ribosomal RNA (493 nucleotides) under uncultured soil bacterium. RNAcentral describes it as "bacterial SSU rRNA". It matches the Rfam family "Bacterial small subunit ribosomal RNA", at positions 35 to 572 of the family's 1533-position model. The record is from RNAcentral.